RNAcentral lists this long non-coding RNA (657 nucleotides) under Sorghum bicolor (sorghum). Its description in RNAcentral is "long non-coding RNA (SBIC_LNC015844)". The record is from RNAcentral. Lineage: Eukaryota; Viridiplantae; Streptophyta; Magnoliopsida; Poales; Poaceae.
AUCUAGUAAAUAAAUAUUUUUGUCAAAAUUAAAAUUUAUCAUAAGUUUAGAAACAUGGUUGUGCAUUCAUGCUGGAAUUUAUUUAUUUAUUUUCUUGCUUGUUUGUUUAUUCUCUAUGUAUUUUGUUUAUCUCUAAAAAGGAUUUAAAAUCUCUUUUCAAAAAGACUUUAGAAAACAAAGAAGAAAAUAGAAAAAAAAGAAAAAAAGAAAAGACAAACCCACCCUCGCAACCUAGGCCGAAGCCAGCCCACCUGGUUUCCCCCUCCCUCCUUUCCUCUCACUGCCACUCUGGGCCCGCACGUCAGCGUCACCAGCUCCCUUCUUCUUCCUGGAACGUGACCAAGCAGGUUUCCCCACCGUAUGGGACCGAGCCAAUCCCGUUUUCCACGGGAUUUGAUUUUUCCUGAGCCUGUUUUAGCCUUGGCCUUUCCUCACCGCGUCUCUAUUUCCAUCUACAAGCGUCCAGAGGUAAUCAACCUGCUCCCCGACGCCGUUUUGGAACUCGGUGAACACAAGAGCAAACCGGCGCCGCCAUCACCGAGUUUCAUUGCACUCUGGUUGUUGUAAGCCCCAUGCCGAGCUUUGUGAUGCCCUUGCGGAGCCGCCAGACCUAUUCCAACAUUGUCUAGUGCUUCUAGUGUCUCUCUAAUCGACGCC